UGCCCAUGUUGUACAGCUAUAACUAUAACUGCAGCAACUCUCUAAUAAAGUUCCAAAAUCCUACCAUGAUGACAACAGACAAAACACACCAACAAAACGAUUAUCAGACCAACAACCACACACCUAAGCACAACCAAUUACCAGGUAAGAGCAAAACACGAUGUACGACAACAGACAAAACUCACAACGAUUAUCAGACCAACAACCACACACCUAACCACAACCAAUUACCAGGUAAGAGCAAAACAUGAUGUGUCGAACGAAAAGGGCACAUUGGACCACCAUGGCGGCAAAGUUGGGGCAUAAGACAUGAGGCAACAAUCAAUGCCAACCAAAAUUGCCAAGCCAGGUAAACCAUCACACCAAUUUCAUUACCACACCACAACCAAAUAGAGGAAAUCAUCACUGCCUACCAGAUAGCAAUCACAAAUGUAACAAACAUGAUGCUUUAGGUUUCAAAAAUGGACAACAUGAAUGUUUCAAAUAAGGACAGGUGUUCGUUUAAAAUCAAAAGGAAUUUUUGUUUACCA
Molecule: long non-coding RNA, 530 nt
Filed under: Fragaria vesca (wild strawberry)
Lineage: Eukaryota; Viridiplantae; Streptophyta; Magnoliopsida; Rosales; Rosaceae
Description: long non-coding RNA (FVES_LNC003441)
Source: RNAcentral